This 348-nucleotide long non-coding RNA is filed under the name Ananas comosus (pineapple). RNAcentral's name for it is "long non-coding RNA (ACOM_LNC035726)". The record is from RNAcentral. Lineage: Eukaryota; Viridiplantae; Streptophyta; Magnoliopsida; Poales; Bromeliaceae.
ACACCUCGAGUCUACCUCUAAUAUUCGUCAUAGAGGUUUCAACACAACCCAAUCAAUGAACCUUUCGCCAUAAGUCACAAGUCCUCGUCUCUCACGAGCCUUAUUCUCCUAUGGUUUACUAUCCUAGGGUCUCCUAGGUCCAUCUAAACCAUUGCCCAUUCUCUACUUUAUGCUCUGAUACCACUUUAUCUGUCACGCCCCGAGCACCGCCUAUUUGGCCGAGUUCGGGCGCGACGACAGACCACCGAACGGACAGAGUUUUUCCUGUACGUCCUAGGCGUCGCAAUCAAUACAAUGAACAUUACAAGGGUUCCAACCAGGAACAAAUAUUAAUCAUGAUUGAAUAAG